This 1164-nucleotide long non-coding RNA is filed under the name Selaginella moellendorffii. RNAcentral's name for it is "long non-coding RNA (SMOE_LNC000198)". Lineage: Eukaryota; Viridiplantae; Streptophyta; Lycopodiopsida; Selaginellales; Selaginellaceae. The record is from RNAcentral.
GGGGAAUUGUAGGACUUCGCGAUUGAUUGGCUGGAGCCUCUGCAAGACAUCACUCUCACCCUAUCUAGUUCCAAAACAUCCAGCAGCAGAUCCAUGCUCUGUUCUUUGAAGUUAAACUCAGAUAGGUGCCAUAGCCAGCUACUGAAGUUCACAAAGUUUUUUACUGAUAGGACUUGGAGUAUUUCAAUCUCUACACUCAUUCUCAUCACGUCCGUGUAUCCUUCCAGGUAUGGCGGCCAUCAGCCACUUCCAAAUCUUGACACUGCACUUCCAGGAGCUUGAGAAGACGAGAGAUCUGUCAGCCACAUUGAUGGUAGAGCGGAAAAGGAAAAGAUUUAAUCUCUUGUGAGCAGUUUGGCAGUGAGAAUGGUCACUUGAGUUGGAAGCAGUGAACCAUCCAAGUCGCAGCUUUCCUCAUGAUCUUUUUCAGCUUGUUCGGUAAGAACUUCUUGGGACUUUGAUGAUCUAACGAAGAGAAUUUCCAGAGAAGUUUGGUGGUAUCUUUCAUUGAUCCCCAUGGCAAUGGUGGCUGCGUGCGCUUCGCAGUCUUGGGUGAGUUUUCUUUCCCUAACUCACGUUAAUGUAAUGUCGAUCCAACCUCAGCUGCGAGUGGUUUCUUGUAUCUCCAGUUCACAAACCUCAAUCUGCCUUCAUGUUUAUGGCUUUCUUGGUCCCGAAAUACAUUCGAGAGUUUGUAAUCUUGGCCAAGUUCACACGACAAGACAAAAUUCAAGCGUGUCCAUCCGACUGUUUUGCUUCUCACCUCUUAAAAUUUCAGGGGAAGCUCAUCACUGACUUAGGCUGUAGGACGAGUACCCUCUUCUUGACUGGAUCCUAGGCAGUGGACUUCCGAGCUCAACUGAACCACCUCCAGGCCUUGCUGUCAUCAGCCUCAAGCCUCCACCCAAAAGAUUCCUCAAAUCUGCUUACGACGCACAUCGGAUUAAACCACCACCUUUUUUAAGGCUCAAUUUAGCCACGUGGCUAUGGCACGGUACUCCUAGAACAUGAAUAAAACAAGAAUGAGAAAAGAAUCUUUUUGCAGUGUCGCAGAUCCCAUAAGAGCUUGAAGAGAAACCGGCCUUGGAGUUCCGGACCGUUUCAACUCGAAUAUAUAACAGCGGCAGAACAUUCGGAUAAAAUGGAAUCGGAAAGCAAUACCCC